CCGCACUUUCGCCGCGCACGUUGGCGCAGGUUGUCCUGCGUAGCCCCACGCCCCAGUCCGCCGCAGCAGCGCCCCCGCGUAGCGGCGUAGGUCGUCGCGCCGACAACUGCAGGCUGCGGCGUGUAGCCCCACGCCCCCACGCAGUCUGCCGCAGCAGCUCCCCCGCGCAGGUCGUCGCGCCGCCGCAACUGCAGGCUGCGGUGUGUCGCCCCAACCCCAAGCCCCUCGCGCGGGCUGUCCCAACAGCGCCACGGGCAGGUCGUCGCGCCGCCAGAACUGCAGGCUGCGGCAUGUAGCCCCAAGCACUCGCGCAAGCCGUCGCAGCAGCGCCCCCCGCGCAGGCUGUCGCCCCCUUUGCAACUUCCGUCACCGACUCCCUGGUUGAGAUUCUUUCUGAAGUAUUAAUUGAUGUUAUCAACAGUAACGUUUUCCAGACAUGUCAUCCUCCAAGCUCACUCCCUUCAGGAAAUAACCAAUGGGCAAAAUAAAGAUCCAAAAAAGGCCAAAAGCUUGUAUUCCAUUAACAAAACCCCGGGACAAAACGUUCCAACUGUUGGUAUUAACCUCCUAGAUCUUGUAUUCUUGCAUGGACAGCUUAGUGUUGCAUUGCCAAGGGGUGUGUCAAGGUAGACCACUCGGAUUUUGGCAAAGCCAAAUAAAGUCAUAGAUCCCAUGGGGAAAACCACAAAGAGUAUUGUGUUAGGGAUGUCUUGGAGGGAUGAAAUAGAUUUGUUCUUCCUUAUGAGCUUGCUCAUCUUUUUAUGAUAUUGCUCCUUUCCCUUUGUUCUGAUUUAAAUAUGUGUUUUGCAACAGCUUCAACAGUUUUUUUACCUGGUUAUGAAAUGGGAGCUUUUCCACAUAUAUCUUGAUGAUCUGUACAAUUUUUUACAUCUUGAGAAUGGAGCUGAUACUUGGCUUCUUGGUUUCAUUUCUUCUCAUAGUCUUGAUGUUCGCUUUUUCUAUUGUUCCAUCAAUGAAAUUUAGAUUGUUGUUGUUUUGCUCAAGAUUUUACAUUGCUAUAAUUCUUCGCCAUUCGCAAUCAUUCAGAUUGUCCUUUUUUGGUCCCUGGAACUUUCAUGUAUUUUAUUUCUAUGAAUUUACAUUUCAUCACGAGAACCUGACAUCACAGCACUGGUGGAGGUCACGAGCGGUAAUCUCGGCAUCGGUGUGGCAUUCAGAACUUGUCAGGAAGGAUACAAGUUCAUUGUGGCCAUGCCUACCCAAAUCCACUUGCUAAGCAGAUACUGUUGCCGUACCUUGGCGCUGAAGUUAUAUUAGUUGAGAGGUAUCUUAACAUGGAGCUCUUUUCACAGAUGAGGGGAGUGUGUCAACGUCAACAUGACCUUCUGAUAUUCAGCUCAAAGGAAUGACGGUGUCGGGGUAAUCUACAUGUGUACUGUUAUCUUACUCUAGCUAGAUAUUCCCUGCACAACUACAUAAUAAACUGGUACGUGUUAGUAGUAAUGGAUAUGCAGUAUGGGGGAAGUGAACCUACGAAGUACUCUCUCCAUUCUGAAAUA
Long non-coding RNA from Lolium perenne, 1520 nucleotides. RefSeq lists it as uncharacterized. Lineage: Eukaryota; Viridiplantae; Streptophyta; Magnoliopsida; Poales; Poaceae. The record is from RefSeq and is a predicted model, not a curated record.